RNAcentral lists this ribosomal RNA (253 nucleotides) under uncultured bacterium. Its description in RNAcentral is "partial 16S ribosomal RNA". It matches the Rfam family "Bacterial small subunit ribosomal RNA", at positions 524 to 776 of the family's 1533-position model. The record is from RNAcentral.
UACGUAGGGGGCAAGCGUUGUCCGGAUUUAUUGGGCGUAAAGAGCGUGUAGGCGGCCAGGUAGGUCUGGUGUGAAAACUCGAGGCUCAACCUCGAGAGGUCAUCGGAAACCAUCUGGCUAGAGUCCGGAAGAGGAGAGUGGAAUUCCCGGUGUAGCGGUGAAAUGCGCAGAUAUCGGGAAGAACACCUAUGGCGAAGGCGGCUGACUGGACCGGUACUGACGCUGAGGUGCGAAAGCGUGGGGAGCAAACAGG